Molecule: ribosomal RNA, 482 nt
Filed under: uncultured bacterium
Lineage: Bacteria
Description: bacterial SSU rRNA
Rfam family: Bacterial small subunit ribosomal RNA
Source: RNAcentral
AGAUUGAACGCUGGCGGCAUGCCUUACACAUGCAAGUCGAACGGUAGAGUAGCAAUACUUGAGAGUGGCGAACGGGUGAGUAAUAUAUCGGAACGUGCCCAGUCGUGGGGGAUAACGUAGAGAAAUUUACGCUAAUACCGCAUACGAUCUAAGGAUGAAAGCGGGGGAUUCGCAAGAACCUCGCGCGAUUGGAGCGGCUGAUAUCAGAUUAGGUUGUUGGUGAGGUAAAAGCUCACCAAGCCGACGAUCUGUAGCUGGUUUGAGAGAACGACCAGCCACACUGGGACUGAGACACGGCCCAGACUCCUACGGGAGGCAGCAGUGGGGAAUUUUGGACAAUGGGCGAAAGCCUGAUCCAGCAAUGCCGCGUGCAGGAUGAAGGCCUUCGGGUUGUAAACUGCUUUUGUACGGAACGAAACGGUGAGCUCUAAUACAGUUUGCUAAUGACGGUACCGUAAGAAUAAGCACCGGCUAACUACGUG